GCACUGGGCCCGGCCCAGCCGUCGGCACCGGAGCCCCCGGCAGGCAGCGACUGCCGGAGCGGUGCGGAGCCCUCUCUGAGGGGAGACGUGGGGGAGGGAACGGAGCAGCCACACGGGCCGGUUCUAGCGCGGUCCAGAGAACCACACUCGGCCUCGUUUGUCACCUUCACACCUGAAAUUCCGCGGCUGUUUCGUUUCACAGGGAGUAUUUCAUGCUGCCAAGCGUGCCUGGUGCGGAAGGACCUGUGAAUGUACUUGUGGAGAGGGCUUCUGGGGGAAAAGUGCUCCGCUCUUCCCGCUCAAGGAGCAAUGGAUCUUGUGCCUCAGACUCAGUGACUUGGACAUUUUUGGUGAGAAGGACAUGCCUGACUCCCAUUAGCUGUAAAAUGUGUACUCUCAAAUACCUCAUUGAGCUGCCUGGAGACAACUGGAAUCUGAAAGCACCCAAGGACUUGUUUGAGUACAGCUGCUGCAGGCUGGACACCUCAGUGCAUGCAAGGUCUUCACCUUUCCCAUCAUGUUGGCCAUGUGGCCCUGUGGCAGGUCUGUCAUGCAGGAGUGAAGGCGAAGGAUGGGAGAGGAUCCUGGGGGCCUGUCCCUGCAGAGACAAAAUGUGUGUGAAUGUGUGUGUGUCCCCUCCAUGGUGGGGACUGAAGAGGUAAGGAGCAAGUGGGUGGUGUCUGAAGUCCUGGGGACACCAGCAGAACGUCUUCAAUUGCAGGAUUGGUUUUUGCUUGGCUUUUCGGUGCCAGCCUUAAAAGAUGUGAAUUGAUACCACUUUUAACUGGCAGGUUUCAUUAUCUGCAAUUUUGUUAAGAGUGAUACCUGUGGAAGGACCACUGACUGUUUUUUUUUAAAUUUUUUGCUUAAUGGGUUCAAUUCUAUCUGCAGCAAACCUUGCCAUUUCACCCCCACUCCAAACUUCAUAUUCUAGUCUAUUACUCACUGUCUGUCUGGCCCCUAUCGUACUUUGACUGCAGAUGUCAUAACAGAAAAGAGAUGAACAGGCAGCUCUUACUUCCUGAUAAAUUAAUGUGCUGCAGUCUAAUCCAUAUCCCAAAUGAUGUUAACAACAGUUUGGAAGCCUGUCACAUAAUCUAAAAAAUUCAGAUGGAUAUUUUUCCCCCUCGUGUGGGAGGAAAAGCCUGUUUCGGGGAUGAACAGUCACUAAUACAUUUAAGCUCCAGUAGAAUGUCAUGGAAAUGGCACAAUUAAUUCAUCCGCCACCUCAGUCCAGUGGUGAAGCACUUUUAUUGGGAACAACCUGUUUGGCAGGCUGCUGGCCGUGGCGUGCUUCCCAAGGCUGCUGCAGCCUGUCCUCCCUCCUUCGUCUGCCUGCUCCAGCUGGGCUUGGGCCUCGCUCAGCUGCCAGUCUUUGGGGGCGAGUUUCUGCCACAGUCUUUGGGGUCAGUCACCUGCGGCUCUCCCACAGCCCCCAGCAUGUGGUUACUGGGACGUGGAAACGGGAACUCGGCAAAGCCUCGCUCUAAAUCUGCUGUGCCGCUCCAGAAGCCAUGGCAGCAGGCGUCCUUUUGCAGGAGGCACGCUGAUGUGCGGGCCCCAGCGAUGGAUAUCCGUAGAUCCGCCACUGAGCCGUGGGUGGGGAGGGAUGCUCUUCCCAGCCCCUGCUUCCUGCGUGGUUUCACUGGAGAAAACGGUGUG
RNAcentral lists this long non-coding RNA (1662 nucleotides) under Cyanistes caeruleus (blue tit). RNAcentral's name for it is "lncRNA (ENSCCEG00000001914.1)". The record is from RNAcentral. Lineage: Eukaryota; Metazoa; Chordata; Aves; Passeriformes; Paridae.